RNAcentral lists this ribosomal RNA (397 nucleotides) under uncultured bacterium. RNAcentral describes it as "partial 16S ribosomal RNA". It matches the Rfam family "Bacterial small subunit ribosomal RNA", at positions 523 to 918 of the family's 1533-position model. The record is from RNAcentral.
AUACGUAGGGGGCGAGCGUUGUCCGGAAUGAUUGGGCGUAAAGGGCGCGUAGGCGGCGCGGUAAGUCUGGAGUGAAAGUCCUGCUUUCAAGGUGGGAAUUGCUUUGGAUACUGCCGCGCUUGAGUGCAGGAGAGGUUAUCGGAAUUCCCGGUGUAGCGGUGAAAUGCGUAGAGAUCGGGGGGAACACCAGUGGCGAAGGCGGGUAACUGGUCAGCAACUGACGCUGAGGCGCGAAAGUGUGGGGAGCAAACAGGAUUAGAUACCCUGGUAGUCCAUACUGUAAACGAUGAAUGCUAGGUGUAAGAGGUAUCGACCCCUUUUGUGCCGGAGUCAACACAAUAAGCAUUCCGCCUGGGGAGUACGGCCGCAAGGUUGAAACUCAAAUGAAUUGACGGGG